UGGGCAACCUGCCCUCAGCUCUGGGAUAACUCCAAGAAAUUGGGGCUAAUACCGGAUGUGACCGCUGACCGCAUGGUCUGGUGGUGGAAAGAUUUAUCGGCUGGGGAUGGGCCCGCGGCCUAUCAGCUUGUUGGUGGGGUAGUGGCCUACCAAGGCGACGACGGGUAGCCGGCCUGAGAGGGUGACCGGCCACACUGGGACUGAGACACGGCCCAGACUCCUACGGGAG
This 229-nucleotide ribosomal RNA is filed under the name uncultured bacterium. RNAcentral describes it as "partial 16S ribosomal RNA". It matches the Rfam family "Bacterial small subunit ribosomal RNA", at positions 118 to 347 of the family's 1533-position model. The record is from RNAcentral.